UGCAUUCCCUUGAUCUUCAGAAAUAUC
This 27-nucleotide non-coding RNA is filed under the name Rattus norvegicus (Norway rat). Lineage: Eukaryota; Metazoa; Chordata; Mammalia; Rodentia; Muridae. The record is from RNAcentral.